RNAcentral lists this ribosomal RNA (301 nucleotides) under uncultured bacterium. RNAcentral's name for it is "partial 16S ribosomal RNA". It matches the Rfam family "Bacterial small subunit ribosomal RNA", at positions 509 to 807 of the family's 1533-position model. The record is from RNAcentral.
CAGUAGCCACGGUAAUACGUAGGGUGCAAGCGUUAAUCGGAAUUACUGGGCGUAAAGCGUGCGCAGGCGGUUCUAUAAGACAGAUGUGAAAUCCCCGGGCUCAACCUGGGAACUGCAUUUGUGACUGUAGAGCUGGAGUGCGGCAGAGGGGGAUGGAAUUCCGCGUGUAGCAGUGAAAUGCGUAGAUAUGCGGAGGAACACCGAUGGCGAAGGCAAUCCCCUGGGCCUGCACUGACGCUCAUGCACGAAAGCGUGGGGAGCAAACAGGAUUAGAUACCCGGGUAGUCCCUGUCUCUUAUAC